UCCUGGUUAACUCUGUUGGUAGAGCACUCCACUGUAAAUGGAUUGGUUCCUGGUUCGAUUUCAGGACCAGGCG
Molecule: non-coding RNA, 73 nt
Organism: Ixodes scapularis (black-legged tick)
Lineage: Eukaryota; Metazoa; Arthropoda; Arachnida; Ixodida; Ixodidae
Source: Rfam